Molecule: long non-coding RNA, 358 nt
Filed under: Homo sapiens (human)
Lineage: Eukaryota; Metazoa; Chordata; Mammalia; Primates; Hominidae
Description: HSALNT0131312
Source: RNAcentral
UCUAAAAUCAGAGCCACUGUGGAAGCAAGUACUCAUGUUAACAGCUUCGAGAUGCUCUGCAUGUGAGGACCGGCGGGGAAGCAAGACCUCGGAAACAGGAUUUUAAAUGGAGCAGCAAGCCUCGGCCGCUCAGGGCCCAAACUGCCCUGCGCUGCUAUGUUCCUUUAGAAAACAAGGCAACGCAGGAGGUUGUGGUGUUGGUGCUUGUUUUCAGGGAGAAUUCUAGUUUCAGUAUAAUUCUAUUUACCUCCGGUCUUACUCAGUUACCUUUGACGUGCAGGAGAAUGGCCUUUAAUCAUAUGAUCAGCAAACACUGUUUCCUCUGGGGGAAAUGGGGACAAAUCCACAGUUGAGAGAU